Molecule: ribosomal RNA, 715 nt
Filed under: uncultured bacterium
Lineage: Bacteria
Description: bacterial SSU rRNA
Rfam family: Bacterial small subunit ribosomal RNA
Source: RNAcentral
AUGCAAGUCGGAUGUGCCGCAAGGUGCAUGGCAGACGGGUGAGUAACGCGUGGGAAACCUACCUCUUUGUGGGGAAUAACGCUCCGAAAGGAGUGGUAAUACCGCAUGAGACCAUGGACUGGGACGUCCAUGGUGAAACCUGGGGACCGUAAGGCCUGGGGCAAGGAGAGGGUCCUGCGUCUGAUUAGCUAGUUGGUGGGGUAACGGCCUACCAAGGCAACGAUCAGUAGCCGGCCUGAGAGGGUGAUCGGCCACACUGGAACUGAGACACGGUCCAGACUCCUACGGGAGGCAGCAGUGGGGAAUUUUGCGCAAUGGGCGAAAGCCUGACGCAGCAACGCCGCGUGGGUGAUGAAGGUCUUCGGAUCGUAAAACCCUGUCGUCAGGGACGAAGGUUAGUCGUUGAAUAGGCGAUUGACUUGACGGUACCUGGAGAGGAAGCACCGGCUAACUCCGUGCCAGCAGCCGCGGUAAUACGGAGGGUGCGAGCGUUGUUCGGAAUUAUUGGGCGUAAAGCGCGUGUAGGCGGUUUGUUAAGUCUGAUGUGAAAGCCCCGGGCUCAACCUGGGAAGUGCAUUGGAUACUGGCAGACUUGAAUACGGGAGAGGGCAGUGGAAUUCCUGGUGUAGGAGUGAAAUCCGUAGAUAUCAGGAGGAACACCGGUGGCGAAGGCGGCUGCCUGGACCGAUAUUGACGCUGAGACGCGAAAGCGUGG